Molecule: ribosomal RNA, 559 nt
Filed under: Glis glis (Fat dormouse)
Lineage: Eukaryota; Metazoa; Chordata; Mammalia; Rodentia; Gliridae
Description: partial 16S ribosomal RNA
Source: RNAcentral
GUUACCAGUACAUGAAUCUUAGUUCAAUUUUAAACUUACCAAAAGAACUCCCAAAUCAUAAUGUAAGUUUAAACUUUACUCUAAAGAGGGACAGCUCUUUAGAUAAGGAAAUAACCUGUAAUAGUGAGUAAACUUAAUAUUAUCCCACAGUUGGCCUAAAAGCAGCCACCAGUUAAGAAAGCGUUCAAGCUCAACAUUUAAUUAAACCAAAUUCGCUUCUUCUAAUUCAACUCCUAUUAUUACCACUGGGUUAAUCUAUUUAUAAAUAGAUGAAAAUAUGUUAAUAUAAGUAACAAGAAAAAUUUUCUCCUAGCAUGAGUUUAUAUCAGACCGAAUACUCACUGAUAGUUAACAAUCUAAUAAUAAUAACCCUAAUUAAAUUUUUAUUAACUAUAUUGUUAAUCCAACACAGGUAUGCAUUCAAGGAAAGAUUAAAAGAAGUAAAAGGAACUCGGCAAACACUAACCCCGCCUGUUUACCAAAAACAUCACCUCUAGCAUAACAAGUAUUAGAGGCACUGCCUGCCCAGUGACUUUCGUUUAACGGCCGCGGUAUCCUG